GCGGAGCGCGCCCUCUGCCGCGGCGCUGCCGCCGUGACGAUGGUGGCCAGCGGGCGGGCGCGGAAGCUGGCACGGCGGUACCGGGUGGCGGUAGCCACGGCCCUUGCGAUACUCUUGCUCCAGGGACUCGUCCUCUGGACCUCCGCCGGCCUCGACGAGGAGGGUCCGGUCGAGGAGCAGCAGAAAAAAAGCAGGUUGCCUGAGAGCAGCGACAGCUCCAAGGACUCGGACAGCUCUGCCGGGCGCAGAGGCAGCACCAGCCGGAAGCAUGGGCGGUGGCGGGGCCGGCCGGACAGCCCUGGGGCGAUGGUGUCCAAGGUGAUGAGAGCUGUCACAGCAAGACACAAGCCAGGGUGGAGGCUGCCAGCCCUGCUGGACUCCUCCAGCCGCAGGAACCUGUCAGAGAUGCACAGGGAGGCCCAGCUGGCCAUCUUCCAGCAGGGCGACACAGGCAGCGUGGAGGGGGCUCCUCAGCCCACCGAGAACAGUUUUACCCCAAAAUGUGAAAUCACAGGGAAAGAUGCCCUCUCAGCACUGGCUCGGGCCAGCAGCAAGCAGUGCCAACAGGAGAUCGCCAACGUGGUGUGUCAGCACCGGGCAGGCAACCUCAUGCCCCAGUCCGUGCCUCGCCACUGCCAGCUCUUGGGCAAGGUCAGCCCUGUCAUCCAGUGGGAUGAGAGCCAGCUGCAGCAGGUGCCCCCCAGCAAGCCUGUGCGCAUUGCCUACAUGCUGGUUGUGCACGGCAGGGCCAUUCGCCAGCUGAAGCGGCUCAUCAAGGCUGUGUACCACCAGCAGCACUUCUUCUACAUCCAUGUUGACAAGCGCUCCAACUACCUUCAUCGAGAGGCAGUGGAGCUGGCCCAGCAUUACCCCAACAUCCGUGUAACACCCUGGCGCAUGGUGACCAUCUGGGGAGGUGCCAGUCUGCUGAAGAUGUACCUGCGUAGCAUGAAAGACCUGCUGGAACUUGCUGAGUGGCCCUGGGACUUCUUCAUCAACCUGAGUGCCACUGACUAUCCCACAAGGACCAACGAGGAGCUGGUGAUGUUCCUGUCCAAAUACCGAGAUAAGAACUUCCUGAAGUCUCACGGGCGAGACAAUGCCAGGUUUAUCAAGAAGCAGGGCCUGGACCGCCUGUUCCACGAGUGUGACUCCCACAUGUGGCGACUAGGCGAGCGCCACAUCCCUGAGGGCAUCGUGGUGGAUGGUGGCUCUGAUUGGUUCUCGCUGACACGAAGCUUCGUGGAGUAUGUGGUGUACACUGAUGACCAGCUGGUGUCCCAGCUGCGCCAGUUCUACACCUACACGCUCCUGCCAGCUGAGUCCUUCUUCCACACGGUCCUGGAGAACAGUCACGCCUGUGACACCCUGGUUGAUAACAACCUCCGCGUGACCAACUGGAACCGGAAGCUGGGCUGUAAGUGCCAAUAUAAACACAUAGUCGACUGGUGUGGGUGCUCCCCAAAUGACUUCAAACCCCAGGACUUCCUCCGGCUACAGCAACUCUCCAGACCCACCUUCUUUGCCCGCAAAUUUGAGUCGACAGUGAAUCAGGAGGUGCUGGAGAUCCUGGACACACACCUCUAUGGCAGCUACCCCCCCAACACACCAGCCUUGAAGGCAUACUGGGAGAAUGUCUACGACCGUGUUGAUGGGCUCAGUGGCCUCAGUGAUGUCACCCUCACCUUUUACACAGCCUUCUCCAGGCUGGGGCUCCACAAAGCUGCAGCCACACCGGCAGUGAAGGCCGACAAGCUCUGCAGAUUUGAGCCCCAGGGCUUCCCAUCCAGUGUGCACUUAUAUUUCUAUGACGACCGUUUCCAGGGUUACCUGGUGAUGCAGGAAGUGCAGAAUUCAGCAACUGGGCAGGCAGAGUUACUGGAGGUGUGGAUGAUGCCCCAAGGAGCUCUGAAACUGGCAGGUCAUGGAGGGCAGGCAAACCGCUUACAAAACCUUGAGGUGGGAACAGAGUGGGACCCCAAGGAAAGACUCUUCCGCAAUUUUGGAGGUUUGAUGGGGCCUUUUGAUGAGCCAGUGGCCAUGCAGAAGUGGUCACGAGGCCCCAACCUGACAGCCACCGUCGUGUGGAUUGACCCCACCUACAUCAUUGCUGCCUCCUACGACAUCACAGUAGAUGCUGAGGCAGAGUUCACCCAGUACAAGCCCCCCCUCAAUCAUCCCCUGCGCCCUGGCAUCUGGACCAUCCGCCUCCUCCAGUUUUGGGAGCCUCUGGGGGAGAGCCAGUUCCUGGUGGUGCCCCAGACCUUCAACCACAAGCAGCCUCUCAGGAAAGAUGACAGCAACUGGCUGCAUGGUGGUCCCCCUGGCAAUGAGUACAUGGAGCAGAGUUUCCAGGGCCUGGGGGGAAUCCUCAACCUGCCGCGCUCUGAAGAGGCAGAGGAGGACGCUGUGCACAAAGCUCAGCUGACGGGCAAGGAGCUGGAGGACUGGGUGGACGAUGCCAUCAGCACCUUCUGGUCCGUGGCAGAUGUCUGCAUGGGCAGCCCCUCUGCUUGCACCUCCCUGCAGACCUGCAGCAAAACUUCCUGGAGCUCCCUCUCCCCAGAUCCCAAGUCAGAACUGGGGCCUGUCAAACCUGAUGGGCGGCUGAGGUAGCAGAGGCAGCCAGUGGGGCGGUAGCAGCCUUGGGAGCAAGGAAUAUCCUGUCUCCAGCAUGAGGGUGUCUCUGGACUACAUCACCCCAUGACCUUUGCAGCAUAGUCACUCGAGGAAGAGAGAACAGGAAUCCAGGCUGGGUAAAACCUCCCAUGGGGUAUUUGGGCAGAGAGCGAGAUGUGAGCGAGUGGAGGAGCGUGUGGUUCAUGGAUCAAGUCCAACAGGCUGCUGUACACCCGCCUCUGCCUCCACCUCAGCAAAGGACGCUCCGGUCCCCUGCCAAAAUGCCGUCACAGGGCUGGUGUCCUGCUACAGAGAAGACAGCAGUUUGCCAUGCUCAGUUGGGUGCCCUGUGCCAUGACCCCUUGGCACAACCUUUUCUCCCAUAUUGGCAGAAGUUCCUGGGGUCUGCUGUGCUUCCCUGGCCAAGAAGCAAAGAGGCAAGACAUCUGUCUGUCUGGCUCCAUCUGCUCCUUGCCAUUUCUGCUCCCCACCUCAGCUCCAGAGGGAAGAGCUUCCCCCUUCCUCACCAUCCUCCAACACCGCAUUGAGACAUCUGGAUUUGGUUUUCACACUGGGAAAAUGCUUUAGAUCUCGCCUGCAGCCUGAGAAAGGGGGAUUGCCCCUGUGUAGAGCUGGGGCAGGGGAACUGCUGGAGAUGA
RNA transcript from Dryobates pubescens (Downy woodpecker), 3278 nucleotides. It is a transcript of the gene named xylosyltransferase 2, with no coding region annotated. The transcript is spliced from 12 exons. NCBI's taxonomy places the organism in Eukaryota, Metazoa, Chordata, Aves, Piciformes, Picidae. The record is from RefSeq and is a predicted model, not a curated record.